RNAcentral lists this unclassified non-coding RNA (257 nucleotides) under uncultured fungus. RNAcentral describes it as "partial contains 5.8S ribosomal RNA, internal transcribed spacer 2, and large subunit ribosomal RNA". Lineage: Eukaryota; Fungi. The record is from RNAcentral.
AACGCACAUUGCGCCCCCUGGUAUUCCGGGGGGCAUGCCCGUUCGAGCGUCAUUUCAAACCCUCAAGCACCGCUUGGCCAUGGGCGUCCACGCCCCCCGCACGUUCGGGGGGCGCGCCCCAAAGACCUCGGCGGUGGCAUCGAGCCUCUGAGCGCAGUAGAAACACCCCGCUUCCUGAGGCCCGGCGUCGCCCGCCACCAGCACCCCACACCUUCAAGGUUGACCUCGGAUCGGGUAGGGAUACCCGCUGAACUUAA